RNAcentral lists this ribosomal RNA (465 nucleotides) under uncultured bacterium. Its description in RNAcentral is "bacterial SSU rRNA". It matches the Rfam family "Bacterial small subunit ribosomal RNA", at positions 338 to 795 of the family's 1533-position model. The record is from RNAcentral.
CCUACGGGGGGCAGCAGUGGGGAAUAUUGGACAAUGGGCGAAAGCCUGAUCCAGCCAUGCCGCGUGUGUGAAGAAGGUCUUCGGAUUGUAAAGCACUUUAAGUUGGGAGGAAGGGCAGUAAGCUAAUACCUUGCUGUUUUGACGUUACCGACAGAAUAAGCACCGGCUAACUCUGUGCCAGCAGCCGCGGUAAUACAGAGGGUGCAAGCGUUAAUCGGAAUUACUGGGCGUAAAGCGCGCGUAGGUGGUUAGUUAAGUUGGAUGUGAAAUCCCCGGGCUCAACCUGGGAACUGCAUUCAAAACUGACUGACUAGAGUAUGGUAGAGGGUGGUGGAAUUUCCUGUGUAGCGGUGAAAUGCGUAGAUAUAGGAAGGAACACCAGUGGCGAAGGCGACCACCUGGACUGAUACUGACACUGAGGUGCGAAAGCGUGGGGAGCAAACAGGAUUAGAUACCCGAGUAGUC